Molecule: unclassified non-coding RNA, 220 nt
Filed under: plant metagenome
Description: partial contains small subunit ribosomal RNA, internal transcribed spacer 1, and 5.8S ribosomal RNA
Source: RNAcentral
UUUCCGUAGGUGAACCUGCGGAAGGAUCAUUACAGAGUUCAUGCCCUCACGGGUAGACCUCCCACCCUUGAAUAUUUGUACCUUAGUUGCUUUCGCAGGCCGUGGAAACACCAUGGGCUCCGGCUUAUGCGUGCCUGCCAGAGGAAACAAACUCUGUUUUUAGUGAUGUCUGAGUACUAUAUAAUAGUUAAAACUUUCAACAACGGAUCUCUUGGUUCUG